GAUGAACGCUGGCGGCGUGCCUAACACAUGCAAGUCGAACGGAGUUUAGCGCUGAUGAAGCUUCGGCAGAUUCUUGUUAAACUUAGUGGCGGACGGGUGAGUAACGCGUGGGUAACCUGCCUCAUACAGGGGGAUAGCAGUUGGAAACGACUGAUAACACCGCAUAAGCGCACAGGAUCGCAUGAUCUAGUGUGAAAAUAUUUAUAGGUAUGAGAUGGACCCGCGUCUGAUUAGCUAGUUGGUGAGGUAACGGCCCACCAAGGCGACGAUCAGUAGCCGGCCUGAGAGGGCGGACGGCCACAUUGGGACUGAGACACGGCCCAAACUCCUACGGGAGGCAGCAGUGGGGGAUAUUGCACAAUGGGCGAAAGCCUGAUGCAGCGACGCCGCGUGAGUGAAGAAGUAUUUCGGUAUGUAAAGCUCUAUCAGCAGGGAAGAAAGACCUCGUAAGAGGGGAUGACGGU
RNAcentral lists this ribosomal RNA (464 nucleotides) under bacterium AC2004. Its description in RNAcentral is "bacterial SSU rRNA". It matches the Rfam family "Bacterial small subunit ribosomal RNA", at positions 28 to 476 of the family's 1533-position model. The record is from RNAcentral.